This 283-nucleotide long non-coding RNA is filed under the name Brassica napus (rape). Its description in RNAcentral is "long non-coding RNA (BNAP_LNC006358)". Lineage: Eukaryota; Viridiplantae; Streptophyta; Magnoliopsida; Brassicales; Brassicaceae. The record is from RNAcentral.
CCCUUGUGAUCAAUCACGUGUUUGAACCCAAGGAUAAGCUUCCUCAAUCGCCAGCAAUCAUCAAUGUAAUGGGCAGUGACAACCGUGUAACUAGCACCUGUGAUCAAGCCAAACAGAAAGAUAAAAAACAUAAGGAUCAAGCCAAACAGAAAGAUAAAACAUAUGAGGAUCAAGCCAAAAACUCCUUACGUGUUACUUGAGCAGUCCAGAUAUCAGUCGUCACCGAAACUCUUUGCUUAUUAGCUUUAAACCAUUUCUUCAUAGCAGCCUUCCUCUCCACAUA